AACUCACGCACACCCCCUCCCUUCUCUUCCCCAUUCUCGGCCUCCCCUCUCUCUCUCUAUAUUCUCUUUUCCUCCAUUGAUGUCCAUUGAAGAAAGCUUAGAGAAGCUUCAUCAAACACUACUAUGAGAUAAUCCACCAUCCAAUCCAAUCAAACACUAUCAUAUCUCAUCAAAUUCAAGAAGCUAGAACUAAGAUCAAAGUUGGAGCAAAGUCUUGAUCACCUUUUAAAUCCUUGAACACGAGAAGAGCAAGGAAGUAAGUAACUCCACUUUGACGGGAGAUUUUGAGUAAGGUCUUCAGGAUAAGCGGAGGGGGAGUAUGGUGCGGUGCUGGUGGAGAAUGUUUCGGGUUGACGUUUUCUUUCUCUAUCGUAUGUCUGUUUUGUCGAUAGAGUUUUGAUAUGAAGUUAUGUUAAAUAGAGUUUGAUGUUUAAGAUACUUAAUUUCCUUUGAAAAUCAAGCAAUACACUCACGGUUAUAUGUCUUCAUACAUAUAAUCGAUUCGCCUUUUGCUGCGAUACUCUGCAUAUUAUUCUUCAUUAUGAAAAAUGAGCUAUACCCGUUUUGUUUUUGUUCGUGAAAUUCCUGAUAAUCAAAAAGAUAUAACGAUGUUGACGAUUUUA
Salvia miltiorrhiza (redroot sage) is the source of this 623-nucleotide long non-coding RNA. RefSeq lists it as uncharacterized. The transcript is spliced from 3 exons. The record is from RefSeq and is a predicted model, not a curated record. Lineage: Eukaryota; Viridiplantae; Streptophyta; Magnoliopsida; Lamiales; Lamiaceae.